RNAcentral lists this ribosomal RNA (497 nucleotides) under uncultured bacterium. RNAcentral describes it as "partial 16S ribosomal RNA". It matches the Rfam family "Bacterial small subunit ribosomal RNA", at positions 28 to 507 of the family's 1533-position model. The record is from RNAcentral.
GAUGAACGCUGGCGGCGUGCUUAACACAUGCAAGUCGAACGAAAAGACCCAAAGUUUCUUCCGUUCUCGAGUGCCGAACGCGGGAGUGUCACGCGUGGAUACUGCCCUGAUAUUCCGGGUAAAACUUCGGAACUCCGGAUCAAACCGCAUAGGAUCAAUUCUUCGGUGUGGUUCUGUAGAGAUUUUUGGUUUUGCGGUGAGCUCGCGACGUAUCCGCGUUGUAGUAGCUUGUUGGCAAGCUAACGGCUUACCAAGGGGCCGAGGCGUAGCCGGCCUGAGAGGGGGAUCGGCCACACUGGAACGGAGACACAGACCAGACUCCUACGAGAGGCCGCAGUCGGGAAUCGUCCGCAAUGGGCGAAAACCUGACAGAGCAACGACGCGUGAGUGAUGAAGGUCUUCGGGGCGUAGAACUCUGUUGGUUGGGAAGAACAAAUGUGUAGGGAAGAAUCGACGUUGUGACGGUACCUGAAGAAGAAGCAACGGCUAACUACGUG